Molecule: unclassified non-coding RNA, 842 nt
Filed under: Hevea brasiliensis (rubber tree)
Lineage: Eukaryota; Viridiplantae; Streptophyta; Magnoliopsida; Malpighiales; Euphorbiaceae
Source: RNAcentral
UCAUGCAAUUGAUCAAGAUUGAACUCCCUAACCUUGAGAAGGUCAUUAAUGAGGGGGUUUUCCCUUUCUGAAUUGAAUAGAAAAAAAAUUGUGCUCAUUUUACAUUGAUAUCCAGUAUCAAUAGAUUCUUUUAAUUGUUCAUUAUGAUCAAUGUUUCCUAUUCCUGGCAAAUAGUGAAAUUUCUGCAUUUAGUUGCGUAAUUCCACAAGUUUUACAGUUAUGGCCAUCCAUCCUUUCAUUGGGUGGGGUGUGGGAACCUCCUUUUAUCUAAGCCAGAGGUGGGUAGCCGCUCGGAAACUCCCAGAGCACAUAGCAAAAAGAAGGGUAGGGAAAGAAAAAAGGAAAACCAAAGCAGCCUAGUGACUUAAAAGUCCCAACUAUUAUUGUGCAAAUCAGCUCUAUAAGUAGACCUGUUGUUGCUGCUGCUUGAUUUUGGGAUUGCUAUUGGGCAGGUUGUUGUGGACAUGGAAUAACAGGCGGCUUCUUAGGAAGUGGGGGAACUUGGGGGAUAAACUUCUAGUGGCAAUGGCUAUUUGAGGUUGGAGUUUUGGGCCUGUGGGGACGGUGGGAAGAGAGAGGAGGGGUGGAUGUGGGAGGAGAAACUAGAAAGCAAUAAAAAAUAAUGUUUUAUUUAACUUAGCAUUAAAAUUAUACAUUAUUUUUUUCAAUUUGAGGGAGAUCGCUAAAAUUGAUACUAAUAUGAAAGGUUGAUGGAAGAAUUGAUAAAAUUAAAAGAAUGGCUCAAAAGCACAAACAUUAGGAACUUUUUUUGGGUCACUAGGCCAAAAAAUAAUAUCAGAAAAGAAAAGAAAGCAUAGCAAAACAAAAUAAAGCUCCUAGAG